AGCUUUUACAGUGGCAGUAUCAUAGCCAAUGAGGUUUAUCUGAGGCAUGAUUAUUGCUAAUUGAAAACUUUAUUUCUUGGGAAAAUAGAAUAUAGCUAUAUCGCUGACAUAGAUGCCCAAGUUACUGUUUUAAAAUAAGUUUA
Small nuclear RNA from Macaca mulatta (Rhesus monkey), 143 nucleotides. Its record names the gene U4. It matches the Rfam family "U4 spliceosomal RNA". Rfam says of the family: U4 small nuclear RNA (U4 snRNA) is a component of the major U2-dependent spliceosome. NCBI's taxonomy places the organism in Eukaryota, Metazoa, Chordata, Mammalia, Primates, Cercopithecidae. The record is from Ensembl.